RNAcentral lists this microRNA precursor (72 nucleotides) under Bombyx mori (domestic silkworm). RNAcentral's name for it is "mir-2807 microRNA precursor family". It matches the Rfam family "mir-2807 microRNA precursor family". Lineage: Eukaryota; Metazoa; Arthropoda; Insecta; Lepidoptera; Bombycidae. The record is from Rfam by way of RNAcentral.
UUAACUCAAAUUUGUAGAGUUGGAAGGUUUGCCGCUAGGGGCGCUGUUCCAACUGCAUACUAAUUUGAGUUA